RNAcentral lists this ribosomal RNA (345 nucleotides) under Triticum aestivum (bread wheat). RNAcentral describes it as "partial small subunit ribosomal RNA". The record is from RNAcentral. Lineage: Eukaryota; Viridiplantae; Streptophyta; Magnoliopsida; Poales; Poaceae.
AUGCUUGACAAGGAUUUGUGCCAGAAAAAACAUAUCUGCAUCAGCACUAGACGUACUAGAAAAUUAGAGUAUGAGAUGAUCAUGCAACGGUACAUAUACUGUAUAGAAUAUGCAUAUUUGAUGACUGUUUCUUUGUUUAUACGAACUGAACAUGCUAACACCCAUGAUCUUGCAUCACAGAUUGAGCAUGAAUUCGAUAUUGGCAAUGAUCAAGGGAGUCAUGAUAUGGAAAUCCAUCCUCCUCCGAUCAAUCUAGACAACUUCAGUACACCAAAAAAGAGAGCUACAAGUGGCCCAUUCUGUGUGAGUAUCAUUAUCACCAUAAUUUCGGUCAGAUUUCUCUAA